CCUACGGGGAGCUGCAGUGGGGGAUAUUGCACAAUGGGCGGAACCCUGAUGCAGCGACGCCGCGUGGGUGAAGAAGCGCCUCGGCGCGUAAAGCUCUGUCAGCAGGGAAGAAAAUGACGGUACCUGAAGAAGAAGCCCCGGCUAACUACGUGCCAGCAGCCGCGGUAAUACGUAGGGGGCAGGCGCUAUCCGGAUUUACUGGGUGUAAAGGGGGCGCAGACGGCGGUGCAAGCCAGGAGUGAAAGCCCGGGGGCCAAUCCGGGGACUGCUCCUGAAACUGCGUGGCUGGAGUGCAGGAGGGGCAGGCGGAAUGCCUGGUGUAGCGGUGAAAUGCGUAGAUAUCAGGAGGAACACCGGUGGCGAAGGCGGCCUGCUGGACUGCAACUGACGUUGAGGCCCGAAAGCGUGGGGAGCAAACAGGAUUAGAUACCCUUGUAGUC
RNAcentral lists this ribosomal RNA (440 nucleotides) under uncultured bacterium. Its description in RNAcentral is "partial 16S ribosomal RNA". It matches the Rfam family "Bacterial small subunit ribosomal RNA", at positions 338 to 795 of the family's 1533-position model. The record is from RNAcentral.